CGAGCGGACGAUUCAAAAACUUGCUUUUGGAUCGUUAGCGGCGGACGGGUGAGUAACCCGUGGGCAACCUGCCCUGUAGACGGGGAUAACACCGAGAAACCGGUGCUAAUACCGGAUAACACGGAAGACCGCAUGGUUUUUCGUUGAAAGGCGGCGCAACUGUCGCUACAGGAUGGGCCCGCGGCGCAUUAGCUAGUUGGUGAGGUAACGGCUCACCAAGGCGACGAUGCGUAGCCGACCUGAGAGGGUGAUCGGCCACACUGGGACUGAGACACGGCCCAGACUCCUACGGGAGGCAGCAGUAGGGAAUCUUCCGCAAUGGACGAAAGUCUGACGGAGCAAGCGCCCCGUGAGCGAAGAAGGCCUUCGGGUCGUAAAGCUCUGUUGUUAGGGAAGAACAAGUACCGCAGUAACUGGCGGUACCUUGACGGUACCUAACGAGAAAGCCACGGCUGACUACGUGCCAGCAGCCGCGGUAAUAAU
This 483-nucleotide ribosomal RNA is filed under the name uncultured thermophilic aerobic biofilm eubacterium SCBP-D12. Its description in RNAcentral is "bacterial SSU rRNA". It matches the Rfam family "Bacterial small subunit ribosomal RNA", at positions 63 to 526 of the family's 1533-position model. The record is from RNAcentral.